RNAcentral lists this non-coding RNA (112 nucleotides) under Halalkalibacter okhensis. RNAcentral's name for it is "Bacillus okhensis SAM-I sequence". It matches the Rfam family "SAM riboswitch aptamer (S box leader)". Rfam says of the family: The SAM riboswitch is found upstream of a number of genes which code for proteins involved in methionine or cysteine biosynthesis in Gram-positive bacteria. The SAM riboswitch acts at the level of transcription termination control. The predicted structure consists of a complex stem-loop region followed by a single stem loop terminator region. Lineage: Bacteria; Bacillati; Bacillota; Bacilli; Caryophanales; Bacillaceae. The record is from Rfam by way of RNAcentral.
CUCUUAUCCUGAGUAGGCGGAGGGACAGGCCCGAAGAAGCCCAGCAACCAACACUUUAAAGCCAUGAGUGAAAAGGUGCUAACCUGCAAGGCUUUGCCUUGGACGAUAAGAG